Long non-coding RNA from Neopelma chrysocephalum (saffron-crested tyrant-manakin), 412 nucleotides. RefSeq lists it as uncharacterized. NCBI's taxonomy places the organism in Eukaryota, Metazoa, Chordata, Aves, Passeriformes, Pipridae. The record is from RefSeq and is a predicted model, not a curated record. The transcript is spliced from 3 exons.
GUAUUUCUUACAGGGGAAUAUUGGACCUCACAAUAAAACAUAUAUUUUGUUGAAACUUGGAGCAGAGAAAGUGACAUUAUAAUUGAUAACACAGAAGACAAGAGAACAAUUAAAAUCUCAGCUAACACUAAGCCAGAGAAGAUGUGCAAGCUUCCUACCCAAAAGACUGAUGAUCUCUUCAAGAUGCUUAUAAGCUUGACAAUACUCAGCAUCAGGAAUGAGAGGUUUUAUCUGAAAGUCCUGUGAUCUACUGUUAAUAUAUUCACUGAGAUGACUCAAGAAUGGAACUGUAAUUAAUGCCUGAAUUUUGGCAUGUGACAUAAUUCUACAGAAGAGGAAAAGAAAACCCCUUUCCUCUUCCUCACCUGAAAUAAAAGUAAACAUUACUAAGUCAGUUGAAUUGUAUCAUUAC